Molecule: ribosomal RNA, 468 nt
Filed under: uncultured bacterium
Lineage: Bacteria
Description: partial 16S ribosomal RNA
Rfam family: Bacterial small subunit ribosomal RNA
Source: RNAcentral
GACGAACGCUGGCGGCGUGCUUAACACAUGCAAGUCGAACGGAAAGGCCCUGCUUUUGUGUGUUUCUCGAGUGGCGAACGGGUGAGUAACACGUGAGUAACCUGCCCUUGACUUUGGGAUAACUUCAGGAAACUGGGGCGAAUACCGGAUAGGAGCUCCUGCUGCAUGGGGGGGGUUGGAAAGUGUCGGCGGUUGUGGAUGGACUCGCGGCUUAUCAGCUUGUUGGUGGGGUAGUGGCUUACCAAGGCUUUGACGGGUAGCCGGCCUGAGAGGGUGACCGGCGACAUUGGGACUAAGAUACGGAGCAGACUCCUACGGGAGGCAGCAGUGGGGAAUAUUGCACAAUGGGCGGAAGCGUGAUGCAGCAACGCCGCGUGCGGGAUGACGGCCUUCGGGUGGUAAACCGCUUUCGACUGUGAUGAAGCGUGAGUGACGGUAAUGGGUAAAGAAGCACCGGCUAACUACGUG